AACGAACGCUGGCGGCAUGCCUAACACAUGCAAGUUGAACGAGACCUUCGGGUCUAGUGGCGCACGGGUGCGUAACGCGUGGGAACCUGCCUUUAGGUUCGGAAUAACUCAGAGAAAUUUGAGCUAAUACCGGAUAAUGUCUUCGGACCAAAGAUUUAUCGCCUUUAGAUGGGCCCGCGUUGGAUUAGCUAGUUGGUGGGGUAAAGGCCUACCAAGGCGACGAUCCAUAGCUGGUCUGAGAGGAUGAUCAGCCACACUGGGACUGAGACACGGCCCAGACUCCUACGGGAGGCAGCAGUGGGGAAUAUUGGGACAAUGGGCGAAAGCCUGAUCCAGCAAUGCCGCGUGAGUGAUG
Molecule: ribosomal RNA, 355 nt
Filed under: uncultured bacterium
Lineage: Bacteria
Description: bacterial SSU rRNA
Rfam family: Bacterial small subunit ribosomal RNA
Source: RNAcentral